CCUUGUGAGUACCAGGGUUCCCAUCAGACAAACUAGAAAAGGGGAUCCCAGACAUGCUGCUGCUGUUUCACUGUGGAGCAUGACUUAGCAGUAUUGAAACAGAUCUGACUUUUUGCUUGGCAGCACAAAAAUGAUGUUAUUUUAGAAACUCUGUUGGAAAGUAUAGGCAUGAAACUAGUCUGAGGUGAGAGGCCUGCCUUUUCAGAAAAGUUUUAAUGAAACACGAAGUAAUUAGCUUUUUUGUAUGUUUAGUGGCACAAUUUUUAAUUUCGUUGAAGUUUGUAAUAAUUUUAACUGCUUUUUAAUAUGUGUACCACUCAUUUGUAUGCAACCAUGGACAACUUAAAAAAAUACUUUUGUGUUCUUUUUCUCCCUUUUAUUUUUAGUUAAUACAUAAUAACACAUUUGUGGGAUACAAAGUGAUAUUUCAGUACAUGUAUACAACGUGUAAUGAUCAAAGCACAGUAAUCAGCAUAUCCAUCACCUCAGAUGUUUAUCAUUUCUUUGUGUUGGGAACAUUCAGAAUUCUCUCUUCUAGCUUUUUGAAAAUAUACAAUAGAUUGUUGUUAAGUAUAUUUACCUUGAAAUACUACAGAGCACUAGAACUUAUUGAGCUGCAAUUUUGUAUCAACCUCUCCCUCUCCUCUCCUCCCACUAGCCUUCCCAGCUUCUAAUAAACCACAAUUCAAGUCUC
This 694-nucleotide long non-coding RNA is filed under the name Homo sapiens (human). RNAcentral describes it as "EIF5 divergent transcript". Lineage: Eukaryota; Metazoa; Chordata; Mammalia; Primates; Hominidae. The record is from RNAcentral.